GGAGAGGUGGCCGAGUGGUCGAAGGCGCUCCCCUGCUAAGGGAGUAGGGACUAAUCCUCCCUCGUGGGUUCGAAUCCCAUCCUCUCCGCCA
This 91-nucleotide transfer RNA is filed under the name Rhizobiales bacterium NRL2. Its description in RNAcentral is "tRNA-Ser". It matches the Rfam family "tRNA". From Rfam's summary of the family: Transfer RNA (tRNA) molecules are approximately 80 nucleotides in length. Their secondary structure includes four short double-helical elements and three loops (D, anti-codon, and T loops). RNAcentral also lists the same sequence under 4 other names. The record is from RNAcentral. Lineage: Bacteria; Pseudomonadati; Pseudomonadota; Alphaproteobacteria; Hyphomicrobiales.